RNAcentral lists this long non-coding RNA (790 nucleotides) under Mytilus galloprovincialis (Mediterranean mussel). Lineage: Eukaryota; Metazoa; Mollusca; Bivalvia; Mytilida; Mytilidae. The record is from RNAcentral.
GGUUAUGCGCAUUCAUAUAAAGACAGUGGGUGUAAGAAAACAACUCAAAAACAAACUGUAAAAAAUCUAAUUAAAAUGUCUUUAUUGAUCAGACAGGUACUAAACACCGAAACAAGAACUAAAAAGGCAAACGACACAAAGAAUAAAUCUAAGACACCCUUAAUCAUUGAGAGUUUAUGUAUCAUUGUCAUUUUGUUUAGUUUCUUUUGUUAACUAUUUGACAUCGGUCUAGGAUUUAUUUUAACUGAGUUUUACUGUGCGUAUUGUUGUGGGUUUUUUCUACAUUGGCUAGAGGUAUAAACGAUGUUUGAGAUCUUAGAAAAUAUGUUUACCACAGCAAGUUUUUGCGUCUGUUCCAAGUCAGGAGCCUCUAGCCCUUGUUAGUCUUGUAUGAUUUUUAAAUUUGGUUUCUUGAGUAUGUUUCGGAGUUUAGUAUGACGUCCAUUACCACUGAACUAGUAUAAAAUUUGUUAAGGGACCAGCUAAAGCACGCCUCCUAAUGCAGGAGUUUCUCGCUGCGUUGAAGACCCAAUGGUGGCACUCGACUGUUGUCUGCUUUUUGGUCGGGUUGUUGUCUAUUUGACACAUUCCCCAUUUCGAUUCUCAAUUUUACAACGAAAAAAAGUUUAUUUUGAAGAAGAGUAAGUUUAUAUGGACCUUAUCUUAAUUUAUUAGACCUACUUAGAACAUCACAAAUUAGUUAGAAUAUGACAUUCCCUUCGCAACAUUUUUGUACAAUUACACCCAAUGAAAUAUCUAUAAAAGUAUUUUAUAUGUUACAAGUAAUUUG